UACGUAGGGGGCAAGCGUUGUCCGGAAUCAUUGGGCGUAAAGCGCGUGUAGGCGGCCAGAAAAGUCCGCUGUGAAAACUCGAGGCUCAACUUCGAGCUGUCGGUGGAAACUUUCUGGCUAGAGUCCGGAAGAGGAGAAUGGAAUUCCUGGUGUAGCGGUGAAAUGCGCAGAUAUCAGGAAGAACACCGAUGGCGAAAGCAGCGCUCUGGGACGGUACUGACGCUGAGGCGCGAAAGCGUGGGGAGCGAACAGG
Molecule: ribosomal RNA, 253 nt
Filed under: uncultured bacterium
Lineage: Bacteria
Description: partial 16S ribosomal RNA
Rfam family: Bacterial small subunit ribosomal RNA
Source: RNAcentral